AUAUCAGUAAGCGGAGGAAAAGAAACUAACAAGGAUUCCCCUAGUAACGGCGAGCGAAGCGGGAAGAGUUCAAAUUUAAAAUCUGGGCGGCUUUGCCACUCCGAAUUGUAAUUUAAAGAGACGUUAUCUGGGCCUAGUCUGUGCUCAAGUCCCUUGGAAUAGGGCGUCACAGAGGGUGAGAACCCCGUCUGGGCAUCGGUGCUAGGUCCUCCAUGAGGCGUCCUCUACGAGUCGAGUUGUUUGGGAAUGCAGCUCAAAAUGGGUGGUAAAUUUCAUCUAAGACUAAAUACUGGCAAGAGACCGAUAGCGAACAAGUACCGUGAGGGAAAGAUGAAAAGCACCUUGAAAAGGGAGUUAAAUAGUGCGUGAAAUUGUUAAAAGGGAAACGAUUGAGAUCAGUAUUACUGUUGGCUGUUCAGCGCUGCUUGUGCAGCGUGCAUUCAGUCAACGGUGAGUCAGCAUCAGUUUGGGCUUCCGGAGAGAGGUCAGAGGAAGAUGGGGUUGUCCUUCGGGGCCACUCUUUAUAGACUCUGGCUGGCACGCGGAGCCCGGACUGAGGCAUGCGGCCGCAGUACUCACAAGCCGAGCCUGAUCCCCACUGGUCAAAGACUGCACGCAGACUUUGACCGCAAGGAGCAGAGGUAGGCCUGUGCAUGCGGUUCCAGGAUGCUGACGAAAUGGUCUUAAACGA
Molecule: ribosomal RNA, 691 nt
Filed under: uncultured fungus
Lineage: Eukaryota; Fungi
Description: eukaryotic LSU rRNA
Rfam family: Eukaryotic large subunit ribosomal RNA
Source: RNAcentral